AGGAACAGAGCAACAUAGUGGACAAUCUGUGUUAGAGGAUGAAUGCUUUAGUUUUUCCUUUAGCGUUUCACUUGUAUAACUGUUACAUAUUGAUCUGAAGUGAAACGUCAAGUAAUAUGUUAACAAUUGUUGCUGUCAGUUUGCGGUUUAGCUCAUUUUAAAACGACCCCGAUUGGACGUCGAACCUUUUGAGACCCAACGAUGCAAUUUAACAACAACGGACAAAUUUGUUCUCUCAUCUUUUCCUCCCUUUAUCAGACUUAUGCGAAUAAUUGUUAUCAUUUUAGUCCCGUUACUCCUGGAUGGUGUGUUUGGUGUGGAUGUGAAGUCAGUGAUGGAGGGAGAUUCUGUUACUCUACAGACUGAUCUUACUGAAAUAAAGAGAAAUGAUUUAAUAACAUGGACAUUUGGAACUGAAAACGUUCGUAUAGCUCAGAUCAAUGGAUUGAUUAAUAUGGUUUAUGAUGGUCCUAAUGGGAUAUUCAGAGACAGACUGAAGCUGGAUCAUCAGACUGGAUCUCUCACCAUCACAAACAUUACAACUGAACACUCUGGACUUUACAGAGUUUUUCAGUUCACUGAUGGAAAAGAACCAAAGAAAUUCAGUAUUAUUGUUUUUGCUCGUCUGCCUGUUCCUGUCAUCAGCAGUAACUCUUCACAAUGUCCAUCAUCAUCAUCAUCAUAUUGUUCAUUGUUGUGUUCAGUGGUGAAUGUGAGUGAUGUGACUCUCUCCUGGUACAAAGGAAACAGUUUAUUGUCCAACAUCAGUGUGUCUGAUCUCAGCAUCAGUCUCUCUCUACCUCUGGAGGUGGAAUAUCAGGAUAAAAACACCUACAGCUGUGUGAUCAACAAUCCCAUCAGCAACCAGACUCAACAUCUGGACAUUAGUGAACUCUGUCAACCAUGUUCAGCACCAGGUUUGACCACAGUUCAGUUAGUGCUGGUUUACUUUUUUGCCCUGGCUGUCGUUGCAGUUUUCUGUGUUUUCUAUUGCUAUUACUACAGGAAGUCUAAAGAAGCAGCCAAUCAAGGCCAACCUGAUGGAGAAGAACAUAUUGAGCUACGUAAUGGUGAGAAACAGUUUAACUGUGGCUUUAUUCUGUUCACUGAGACAAAAAACAUUUUUACAAAGAACUCUAAAGUAAAACAUUAAAGGUGUUCAUUGAAUUAUGUGAUUAUUGUUAUGUGUAGUUCCUGAAAACAGUGGGGGAGGCGAUUGACCAAACAGUGGUAAGAUACUGUAUUACUGAAUCUCUUUGCAUGUGUGUGUUCAUAUUAGUCGAUUCAUAUUGGUGUUUUUUUUAUUUUUUAUUUUUUCAGCAGGUGCAGAAACACCCGAUCAGGAAAAGCAACCACAAAACAAUGGCAGUGGCAGCAGUGGCAUGGAUGGUAUUAGAGAUGAGCUGCAACAGGAUCAGUUAGAAUUGGACACUGAUGAGUUAGAGAGAGCAGGCAAGCAGCUAGGCAUAGAAGGCAGUGAGAAAGAAGAUGAUUUAGGGACUUUGGAAUCAGGACCAAAGCAAGUUAAUCUAAAAAAUUAUCCAGUCACCAGAUUUGGUCUACAAAAAAGAUCCUUUCAGCAGAGAUGGUUUGACUCUUGAAUGGCUGGAGUACUCUGUUAACAGAGAUGCCACAUUCUGCUAUGCUUGCAGGAUACAUGGAAAGCAUCCAGCACGAAAUAAUAAAGAUUCUCUGAUCAGCACAGGAGGCUUUUCAAACUGGAAACGAGCUCUGGAGAGUUUCAGAGAGCAUGAAGCAAGUUUAGGGCACAAGGCUUCAGUGCUUUCUUGGAAGAAUUAUAAAGCCAGUUUAAUAGAAGGCAGUGUUGUUGAGAAAAUGAACGUGGCACAAAUUGGUGACAUUGUUGAGAGACGUGAAUAUUUGCGCAGAAUUGUUGCUGUGACCAGCUAUCUAGGGAAGCAAGGUAUUUCUUUUCGUGGCCAUGAAGAAGCAGAGUCUAGUGGAAAUCAGGGAAACUUUUUGGAGUUGAUGAAGCUCCUGGAGCAAGUUGAUCCCUUCCUUUAAAGCUACAAACCACCUUGAAAUGCUACUUAUCUCUGUCCAUCUUCACAAAAUGAGAUGACUGAGUGUUGUGCAGAAGAAAUAACUGGCUGCUUAGUUGAAGAGGUGAAAAUAUCCAAAAUGUUUGCAGUCAUGGCUGAUGAAGCAAGGGAUGGCCAUGUUGAGCAGCUUGCUGUAUGUGUACGUUAUGUCACAGCUAAAGGCACAGUAAAAGAGCACUUCAUUGAAAUGUCCAGCCUCAAGGGAGUGUGUAUUCAUUCUUUAGUGCAUCAAUGGUCAAUCAUCAAGCAUUUCAUGACACACAGAAACAACUAGGUUUAGAGAACAGCGAAUUUGUCCAACUCUCUAAAACUAGAUGGGAAUGUCAGCUCAACUCAGUCAAAGCUGUGCUUGAAAAUCUGACUGCUUUGUUAAGAUGCCUGGAAAAAGUUGCUACACCCAUAGCAAUUGGGCUGCUGUCAAAACUGUCCAGUUUUUCCAGUGUGUACAUGCUUGUAAUGUUCAAGAGUUUGCUAUCUGCUACAGAGGGGCUCCAUAAGUAUCUCCAGAAAGAAUCUGUAGACCUGGCACAAGCAACACUCUACAAAUAUGCUGUUCUUGAAACACUGACAUUAAUGCAGAGCAGUGAAGAAACAGCGGAACAGCUCUACAAGGAGACAAAAGAAAUUUGCGAGUCCAAUAACAUCUCAGAGAUCCUGUCUGGUCCCCGCUGUAAGCAAAGGCGGAUGGAUGAUUACGCAGUGGAUUCCACAUUGGGCACUAGGGCUCCAUGUGAUACUGGCAUCCAACUUAAAAAUCAUCUUUUGUAUCCAUGUCUUGACCGCAUGAUAAGUGAGCUGAGCAACAGAUUUUCUGCUUGCAAUCCAGCAGCUGAUGACUUUCUUAGUGAGCAUAAGUUGCAUACUAUUUUUGUUAAUGUGUGUUUAUUAUUAAACUAUAUUACAUAAAAAGUCCUUGUAAAACAUGUUAUUCUUGCUUACCCUCUCCCCCUAAUUAGCCCCUGAUGUUUGGGGCUCAGCCAUGGAAGGACAAUCUGUCACCCCACAAACUGAUGUUACUGAAAUACAGGAACAUGAACUGAUGUGGUGAAAGUUUGCUGAUUCCAGUGUAAACAGAGGCUAAAUGUUCUGUCAUAGCUGAGUGGGAUAAAACAAACAAUGAAGAAUAUCUAUAUAAUGAAGAAAUAUUCAAAGACAGGUUGCAAUGGGACCAUAAUACUAGAUCUCUGACCAUCACAAAUAUCACACCUGAACACUAUGGACAUUAUAAACUACACACAGAAUUUCUCAAAGACAUUUAAUGUAGUUGCCUAUGUGAGCAGAGUGUUUCAGUAGUCUUAAGAUCAUUAAGACAUUUCUAUUAACCCUUAAACACGACACAAUGCAAUAAAUAAUUCAAAGUGCGCUGAAAACAUCUGUAAAAUCUGUAAAAUUAUUAGAUCAUUAACACCUGAUUGGGCAUUUAGAGUAAAUGUACUGUAACUUGAAAUGUACUGUAACUUGAAAAGAAAAAAAAAAAGAUUUACAAAGAUUUAUUAUCUGUACUGUACUU
This is an RNA transcript of Labeo rohita (rohu), 3573 nucleotides long. It is a transcript of the gene named CD48 antigen-like, with no coding region annotated. NCBI's taxonomy places the organism in Eukaryota, Metazoa, Chordata, Actinopteri, Cypriniformes, Cyprinidae. The transcript is spliced from 7 exons. The record is from RefSeq and is a predicted model, not a curated record.